UACAGAGGUGGCAAGCGUUGUUCGGAAUUACUGGGCGUAAAGGGCGCGUAGGCGGCCUUCUAAGUCAGACGUGAAAUCCCCCGGCUUAACCUGGGAACUGCGUCUGAUACUGGGAGGCUUGAGUAUGGGAGAGGGAUGUAGAAUUCCAGGUGUAGCGGUGAAAUGCGUAGAUAUCUGGAGGAAUACCAGUGGCGAAGGCGGCUUUCUGGUCUGUAACUGACGCUGAGGCGCGAAAGCGUGGGGAGCAAACAGG
This 253-nucleotide ribosomal RNA is filed under the name uncultured bacterium. RNAcentral describes it as "partial 16S ribosomal RNA". It matches the Rfam family "Bacterial small subunit ribosomal RNA", at positions 524 to 776 of the family's 1533-position model. The record is from RNAcentral.